GAGCCCCCCCCCCCCCCGAGCUACACAGGGAUUCACUGCUAUCCCACAGGAGUAGCUGGCAUGACACUAACGUGAACUGACUCAAAAGUCAAAUCCCUAACCAGACCCAGACAGCUGAAGGGCCGCUGCUGGAUGGUGAGGUCAAAGAAACCAGCAAAACCGUUUCUUCUGCUGCUGCUGUUUGAAGCCGUGAAAGUCCAAGAGGCUAACAGUGCAGAGAUUCCCAGAACCGCCCUAAGUCACAGCGAUCGCCAGCAAACGACAUUAAGACAAGAUCCUGACUGCUACCCAAGGCUGACUGAUGCAUCCCUGCAGACCUGUACUUGGACGGGAGGAGAGACUAGCAAGCUCUGUACCUGGAAACUGAUCUCACCAUGAGAGAAAACCCAAGGCCGAGCUCCCAAGGUAAGGCACUUAGACACGGACAGUACAAGAAGUAUCAGGCGUGUCAGGCACCACCCCACCUACAGUUAGCAUCUGUCUCAGGGUUUCCAUGGAAUGAAACACCAUGACCAAAAGCAACGUUGGGUUUGAAUAAGAAUGGCCCCCAUAGGCGUAUGCUUAGUCAUCAGGUAGUGGCGCCAUUUGAGGAGGAUUAGGACCUGGUCUUGUUGGAGGAAGUGUGUCACUAGUGGUGGGCCUUGGAGGUUUCAAAAGCCCAAGCCAGGCCCUGUAUCCCUUCCCUGUGCUUGCAGACCCAGAUAUAGAACACUCAGCUGCUUCUCCAGCACCAUGUCUGCCUGCUUUGCCGGCACGCUCCUUGCCAUGACGACAGUGGGCCAACCCUGAGAAGCUGUAACCCGGCCCAGUUAACUGUUUUCUCUUACAGGAGUUGCCAUGGUCAUGGGGUCUCUUCACAGCGUUAGAAACCCUGACUAAGUAAGGCAGGGAGGAAAAGGUUUAGUUCAUCCUACAACUCUUGGGUCACGCUGCAUCAGGGAGGGAAGUCAGGGCAGGAACUCAAACCAGGAACCUAGAGGCGGGAUCUAAAACGCAAAGGCCGCAGAGGGACUUCAUUCACUGGCUCGCUCUUUCUGAUUUGCUUGGUUUGCUGUCACACACACACCCCCGGGGACCAUUUUGCCAGUGGCGGUACUCACUCCCACGUCAGCCGUCAAUCAAGACAACAUCCACCACCCGUGGACAGUUUCUUUUCAGCUAAGGCCUCCCUCUUCUCAUGUGACCCUGGCUUAUGCCAAGCUGGUAGACAAAUCAACAAAACCACAUCAAGCAGAGCAGCAUCCGCUCAGAAACUGAAGCUGCGGUCUUAAAGCUGUUCUCAGAGGACAGGAGCUCCCUGAAUGGAGAUCAAGUGAGGACCCAGUGCCUCAUGUGAACCUCAAGGAAGACUCGUUUUUUUUUUUAACCUCAGGAGGCCGGUGGUGUAACUCGACAGCCUUCAGUGGCCACUGCCCAAAGCAGGGACUUUGAACUUCACGGUCACUUUAUUCGUAAACCCCCUGCUGAAGUAGCUGAAGACUGCUCGUAAUCUGAGGGACAUGUAAGCAAUCUUUUAGGGAAAGCGCUCCUGUGACCGAGCUGCUAUCAGAUCUUUUGGCAAUUACAUUUGGAAUCUGAAAGCGGCACCGAAUAAAUGUUGGCCGAUUCUGUUGACUUCCCGAAGGAAGGUGAAGCAUAAGCAUGCAGAGAUGACUGUCUCCUUAGGAAUUCUGGGAUUUUUUUUACGCUCUGGAAACAGGCAUUCUCCAUGCCUCCCCGCCUUUCCAGUUAGUAAUCUGUACCAGUGCCACUGCAACUUUGGGAAGAGGUUUUCCUCUUAGUAUGUAUUCCAAAGUGCCUGCAACCUCAGAGCUGACUGCCAACCCCACAGUGUGGGCAGCAAUAGCCAGACUAAGCAAAUGGCCUCCUCCUGGGUGAACGGGGAGUUGCCCGGGCUCGGUGUUCUUCCUCGGUGAGGCACAGCCAGAGCCAGUCUGAGCAAAGGCUCCAUGGCGAGUCUGCAGUUGACACUGACAUCCUUCCACUACUUUCCACCCCUUUCCAGAGAGCCCAAACCCAUCUUAACAACUGAUGAAUGCCAGCGAUUCCCAGGUCGCCAGUUUGGGAACACCUGGGAAUCUGGGGCUUGAUAUCUUUCAGAGGUUCUAGAACACACUUCCACUGUUGACAUUUCGAGUGACCCGAUGACCCAGCCACCCUUAACUGUCGAUCCUGCAGAGACGCUGACCAUGAAAUCCAACCCAUUUAAGGCACAACCACCCGGUACAGAAGAAUGCCAGACCGGGGCUCAACCCUACCUUACUGCCCCUGCUGCUGCAGCAGAGCCUGGCUAACCAGAGCUCAAGGAGUCAUUCACUACCCCACGCCCACACUCUAAAGCAUGGCCCCAGGCUCUGCUCUAGGAUCCAGCUGGCACGAGUGCAUGCCAACACACAACGCCUUUGGAUUUCUGAGCAUCUCCUUUUCCUCUCCAGUGCUGGAGGCACAGCUUCUGCUCUGCAUCUGUUCCCAGACACUGCUGGCGCCAUGCUGCACCGGGUGUCACUGCAGAGCUGGAGCUGACUGCUGUCAGUAUGGCCAGGAGCCUGUGUUCCUGGGGCAAAGUGCCAGAGGAGGAAACAGAUACGAACCGAGCGGACGAGCAAAUGCAGAAGCCAGUCAAGCAAAUCCACGCAGACUGUAAGAGCUGGACCAAAGGGAAAGCAGUCAGCCAAACACAAUUAGGGCAGGAAACAUACCUAUAAGUCCAUACCCACCAGGGCAGUAGAGUAAACCCCACCACCAGUCACAGCUCUGAUCCACAACUGCCCCCCCCCCCCCGCCCCAGGGCAGGUUUUUCUGCCAUCAGGAAAGGGAAAACCAGUACAGCGCUGUCAGCUUGGUGAAAUGGGCGACUCACGGUGUGCACAAUACCCAUCAAGUACCACGAGAGCUGAGACACACCUUCUCGCGUGCCCGCAGCCCUCAGACAAGGUGUACACAAGUGGUAACCCGGCUGGUGUGUCCUGUGCAUUCUUGUAAUUGGUUGCUCUGUCCCCACAAGCAAAGAGGUACUAUGUUACCCUGGGAAAACUCAGAGGAUGUGUUUGGGCCUUGCCCCCACAACAUAUGUACACCCACAAAUCUGGCACUCUGUCCCCAUGCUGGACGAAUGUCCUCCUGAGUGCAUUUACCUAGCUUUGUGGCCCUCUUGCUUCCGGUUGUUACCUGGGAUGCAGUCUCUUCAACCUUGGAGGGUGUUAGAGCGCCAAUGUGUUCCAUGGUUAAUCCCGCCCCCCCCCCCCCAGAGAUAGGGUUUCUCUGUAAAACUGACUGUCCUGAAACUUGCUCUGUAGCUGGCCUUGAACUCACAGAGAUCCACCUGCCUCUGCCUCCUGAGUGCUGGGAUUAGAGGUGUGUGCCAUCACCACUAGGCUUCCAGGUUAAAUUUUUAAUGCAUUAUUUAGAACCACUGUGUAUUUUCCAAAGUGCACUGGGGUUGGACAGCACUUGCUUUGUAAAGCCUGUUUGUAAAGCGUCCCUCUGCUGGCAAUGAUCAGACUAGGAACUAUCGAACUGGUCAUGGGGAAGAUCUGCAGGUAGACCUCAGAGGUAGGGAAACUCCCCGGUGUUAUUAAGGCCAUUUAUAAAGACUGUGGGGUUAGAGAGAUGGCUCAUUGUUUAAGACCAGUUGUUGCCCUUGCAGAGGAUCUGAGUUCAAUUCCCAGCUCCCCCA
Molecule: long non-coding RNA, 3676 nt
Organism: Mesocricetus auratus (golden hamster)
Lineage: Eukaryota; Metazoa; Chordata; Mammalia; Rodentia; Cricetidae
Exons: 3
Source: RefSeq, a predicted model, not a curated record